RNAcentral lists this ribosomal RNA (381 nucleotides) under uncultured marine Chaetocerotaceae. RNAcentral describes it as "SSU rRNA". It matches the Rfam family "Eukaryotic small subunit ribosomal RNA", at positions 587 to 972 of the family's 1831-position model. The record is from RNAcentral. Lineage: Eukaryota; Bacillariophyta; Thalassiosirophyceae; Chaetocerotales; Chaetocerotaceae.
AGCUCCAAUAGCGUAUAUUAAAGUUGCUGCAGUUAAAAAGCUCGUAGUUGCAUUUCCGAGGCAAGGGAUUAGUCCGACCUUUGGUGGGUAUUUAAUCCUCUUGCCUCGUCCUUGAGUGGUGCUUCUUGGUAUUAAGUUAUCGAGGAGAUAGCCGCUCAUCGUUUACUGUGAGAAAAUUAGAGUGUUCAAAGCAGGCUUAUGCCGUUGAAUAUAUUAGCAUGGAAUAAUAAGAUAGGACCGCGGUACUAUUUUGGUGGUUUGAGAACCAAGGUAAUGAUGAAUAGGGACAGUUGGGGGUAUUCGUAUUCAGUUGUCAGAGGUGAAAUUCUUAGAUUUACGGAAGACGAACUACUGCGAAAGCAUUUACCAAGGAUGUUUUCA